This is a non-coding RNA of Lactuca sativa (garden lettuce), 5864 nucleotides long. NCBI's taxonomy places the organism in Eukaryota, Viridiplantae, Streptophyta, Magnoliopsida, Asterales, Asteraceae. The record is from RefSeq and is a predicted model, not a curated record.
UUGGAAAGAUUUUAUAGAAAAGAACCGUUGGAAUUCGGAAGUCGAAAGGAUUGGGUCGGUGUAUUGGCGCUUAAUAUAUACCUUCUUCACUCAUCUGUCUGUUCUCCAAACACCACAGGAGACAUGUUUCCUUGAAGAAGAAGAGGGUUUUAUUUGGAGGCACCACCUUCUCCUCUUUUCUUCUUCUGUUCCCGCGUUCAAGAAUCCUUUGCGUUUCCCUCUUCGUCUCUUAGGUCUCUCUUCUUCAUUACUGGAUUCAUCGGUCAGUUUGGUUCAAGGUCAUCAUCGAUCAAGAAAAAGAGCACAGAUCUUUUUUCGCUCUGGGUUUCUUUCUCUUUCUCCUCCAUCUUUUUUUUUUCUUUGUUGGUUUAUUGGAUUUUUGUCGUCAAAUUGAAUCCAAAACAUGAAAGCAUCCAUCAAACGAAAGAUGAUUGGUCAUGGAAGCGGCGAUGUCGGAUUUUAGAGAUUGAAAUUUGAUUUUUGGGGUCAUAAGGAAGGUUCAAAUGAUCAUUUCUGCUAUUUGAUUACUGAUUUAUUUGCUAUAUGAAUCGGUGCUUUUUAUUGUGUAGUGUUCAUGAUAGUGAUUUCUUUAUUGUACUCAAUCACAUCAUGGCAAAACUGCUGCUUCUUUAUGACUUGAUUACUGUAUUUUCAUUCGUGUAGGAUAACUAGAAAUUGUUGGAUGACAUGGAAUAACUGAGACCUACUAUAUAUUCUGUAGUGUUUCAGGAUUAUGUAACAGAGUAUGCCUAGUAAUUCGUUACAAAAGAUUCUUGUUAUUUGGUUGAUUCUUUUAUUUUUUUAAAAGUGUGCUUUUAUGUAGCAAAUUAGGACAUCAGGGAAGGGAAAUGCCAAAGGCUGAAAUAUUAAAAACAAGUGGUCAAUAUAAAGAGGAUGUCAGUAGUUACCUUUGUAUAACUGAUGAGGAACCUCUUCAUUCAGCUGUGAUAUGCUUGAACAAGCAUCUUAUUGUUACAUUUUCUAUCAACCAAACCAAUCAUCUUAAAAAGGAUAAACCAUGCCAUUCAUGCAUACAGAAACACUCUUUCUGUUUUGAAAAGAAACAACAUGGAGUUAUAUUUGGGAUCAUAUCCAUUUUCUUAUAGGACAUUAAUGCCAAUCAGGUCCGGAUGAUGUGUACAAGCCAGAUUUUGUGUGCCACACAGACAUUGCAUAUAAUAACUAUUGUGCAAUUCACCUAUCAGAGACAAAAGGCACAAAAAGAUUCCAAUGGGAGAGGGGACCACAGACAACCACGAGAGCACUACAAAGUGGUUGAAGGGCUAGAUGAGCUUGAUCCCAUCUCUUCCAUCAACAACUGGGUGGGGUUAAAGGUUAAGUGUAUGAUUUUCUGAACUUAUUGCUCAGUUACAUAAAUCUUAUCUUCCUUUGGCACACCAACAAUCUAUGAAAAGUCCAACCACAUCAUAUUGGCAAACUAUGGUGGCUCAGUUGGAGAUUAUGUAACAGAGUAUAAAUUUACGGAAAACGCCUUCAACACUUUUUUAGUUUGCCUGGGAAGGGAAUGCCACAUGGUGACAAGUGUUCAAUAUAAAGAGGGCGAUGGAACCUCUUCAUUCAGCUGUGAUAUUCUUGAACAAGCAUAAGCAUCUUAUUAUUACCUUUUAUUUCUGCCAAACCAAUUAUGCUAAGAAUAUAUGGAUUUCAUCUCAUUCUUUGUGGUGGCAGUUUUUGUUACUGGAUCAUAUAUCAAUACUUCAAUAGAUAAUUUUGUUUUACUAUUAAUGGAUAAACUUCAUUAUCGAAUAUCAAUGAUUCUGACACAGUUGGUAUGCUUUUCUUGGAAGGUUUGAUGUGGUAAUGAAACAUAUGUUGGAAAUUGUGGCUUCUAGUCAUCAAUCAAAGCCAAUGCAAUAAUUUUGCUGCAUAUAUAUAUGUAGGAUGGAAUUAAGCUCAAAGAUUUAUUUAACCAAUGUUAUGGUAUGUGCAGCUCAAGACAUUGAAGACAACCCCUGUUAUGUUCUAUCCAACAGAUGUAUUUGCAAAAUAAACACAAAACAACACAAGAAUGGAAUUGAAAUCCUUUUGAUUUCCUGUCAAUCAUACACAUGACAAAUACCAAUUCCUUUGACAUAUUCCAUUCAUUACUCUGCAACAAGAAAAGGUUUUAGAAACCAAAUAAAGAGCUUAUGUUAUGGUGGAGAAAAGGUAAAGAAGUUCCCCUGAGAAUCAAAGUCUUAGCAUGUAUGUUUUUACCCUUAAAACUAUAAAACACUUGAUGCUUUUUAUGUUCUUAUUUAGCUUUUGUGUUAAUGUUAAAAGGUACACUUUGAGUUCCAAUAAGGGUGUUGGGUUAUUAUGCCUUUAUCAAAUUACCGCCUUCUAUCCACUGAUUACAAAAGAUACAAGUCUAUGACCCUAUUUGUGUAUUUCCAGAAAUACCCCUUUGUUCCAAACUCAUGCUUGUGUAUUAUCUAUCUUCAGGAAAGUAUGGGAUUAACAUGCUUCAUGUAGAAUCAAUAAAAAAAAAGAAGAAGAUGUUGAAUAUUGCAAUGAAAAGGCCUUCAGCACUUAUUUAGUAUGGCUGCGAAAAUGGGAGAUCAGGGAAGGGAAAUGCCACAUGAUGUGGUCUUUGGUGGGCUGAAAUGUUAAAAUCAAGCGGUCAAUUAAUAUAAAGAGGGUGUUGGUGUUUACCUUCGUAUCUCUGAUGAGGUUAUAAUCAGUUCUCUUUUGUGAAUAAAAUAUUUUAUAUGAGAAUUAUGUUUUGAAUGACACUCACGAAGGUUAGGAUAUGAUAUAUUAGUUUGUUCAACCAUCAAAUGGAGAGACAAAUGUCUAAGUCAAUGUAUGUUUUUGUUGUUUCAUUGCUGUGUUUUUUAUCAACUCUAGAUUUCAUAUUCAUAUACACGUGCUUAAUGUAAACCCUCUUCUUUUGCUCUACAUUUCACACCAUAGUUACUGAUUUUGUUGAGUGUCGAUUUUCCAAAGAAAUUGAAGACAUGAAAAUGGAAGGUUUACUUUUACAGGUUACAUUGAUUGAAUAUGACACCUUGACAUAUUUUGAUAGUGGUAUGAUGGUUAAUCAUUUGCUUCAUUUCUUAUUGGUUGCACUGAUAAGAUUCUUUAUUGAAAUGAAGCUACAACCUUCAAGAACUCAUCAACCACUGGGGGUAAAGGUUGUAUCAUUUUCUAAGCUUAUUAUUCAGGGAAGUAACAACCAUUACCCUUUUCUUUUAGCUCACCAAAACAAGAUGAUGUUGCUACAAUAUGGUAUACAAGUGGAUACCAAAUGUGUAUUUUUUUCCUUCUCUUUUCAAGUCUACCAAAGUUUAAUCUUUUCUUACCUUAAGUGGAACUUAUUCCUUUUCCUACAUGGUUAGGGGAUAGAAACCUGACUGCAAAUGUUGCUGGUGGAAGUCUUGAAAUUAAGUUGUAUCCAUCAAAUUCACACAUAUAUGAAAGGUCCAACCAGAUGAUAUUGGUGUACUAUGGUGGCUUAGUUGGAUUUUAUCAAAUUUCAUCUUCUGUCUGAAUUAAGUUCAUGAUAAUGAUUUCCUUAUUGUACCUAAUCACAUCAUGCAUACAAAACUGCUGUUUCUUUUUAACUUAAUAGGCAAUGCAUUUUCAUUCAUGUAGAACAACUUGAAAUUGGUGGAUGAGAUGAUGGUGGAUUUGAGACCUAAUAUGCUCCACGAUUAUGUAACAGAGUAUAUGAUAUGUUGGGUGACAAAGGAGCUUUUCACCUAUAGAAACUAUACCCAUCUCAACUGUAAGUUUUUCACCUAGUUAUACACUUAUACUGCAUGAAAGUUGCACACAGUUGUAAGAGUUUAACAGUAUUUAUUUACUUUCCCAUGCAACUUAUCAACCUGAUUUUGUAUCAACAUGGUGUGUAUCCUUUUCAAACCAUAUGUGUAUGUGUAUUUAUCCAAUAAAGAACUUGAACUUUUAGUUUAGGGUUUAGGGUUUUUCCAAUUAAGAACUUGAACUUGCACACAUGAAGCCUUUGAUCAUCCUGUUAGUUACAUGUAAGUCUUUGAUUAUAAUGAAUGUGCAGGCCUUUUUGUUGUUUCUUCAAUUGACAUGCAGAUCCUAGGUAUCAACAUGUUUGUGGAUGUUUUUUUUUUUUGGUCCACGAUGGAUCAUCAGAGAGGUUUUUUCACUCCUUAAUUAUCAUUUUUGUUAUGAUGUAAAAAGCAUUGAAUAUAAAUAUUUGAAUUUCAUAAUUGCAUACGAUACAGAGUAACUUAAAAUAUUGGCAGAAAUGAAAAACACGCUUCAUUUAUGGAUUUCACCUUCAGGUUAUUUAUCAACAGUAUGUAGUCUAAACGUAUAAUAAUCCUUUCUCUCGUCUCUUUUGAUUUUGGAAUGCAUUAGAAUUUAGAUUGAGACUGAUGUCAAUAGGACACAAGUUGCAAUUUUAUGAGAAAGAAUAUAAAAUCCUUUCCAUAUUUCCUCAUGAGUUUUUAUAUUGUAAUUGAAUGCUAUUUAGAUGCGAAGAUAUAAAGCCUUCUAUUAAAGCAUUAUACUUUGAUAAUAAAACCUUUUAAGACAUUGUAAUUUUAUUAUUUUCCUAUCAAGUCACUAUACUUGAAAAAACUAAACAUGUUUGUUUUUGGUUGCCCAUUAUAGUUUUAUAAAUUUCAUAUUAACCUGUGAAGACUUUUUACUUUUUACUUUUUCUUAUUACGACAUUUCAUUUUAAAAAUCUAACCUAUCAAGACAUUUUCCCGUUAAAACAUCAAACUUGUUUGAACUUGGUUGCCAAUUACAGCAUUAUAGUUCAAUUUUUUUGACAACUAUUUUUCCUUCAAGUUAUUGUAUUUUCUAAAUCCAACAUUGUAUUGUACUUUCAACUGUUUUUCUAUUAAGAAAUUGCAUUUUCAAAAACUAAUCUAGUAAGACUUGUAUUUUGAAAAUCUGAACUUGUUUCACUUUGGCUAACAUUUAUAGCAUUUUAUAUUCAAAAUAUAUGAACGUUGUACUUUUGAAUUUUUUUUUGGUUAACAAUGCCCUAUGAAAAUUUAACAUACUUAGACAUUGCAAUUUUGGUUCUUAUUUUAUGGUUUCAUAACGCUCUUGGUACCUAGGUCGUCACCUAGAUGUUAAAUUUAUGAAAAUGACCAUCUUGCCAAUGUCUUGUUCAUCUCUUUCAUUUUCAUGUUAAAUUUAUGAAAAUGACCAUUUUGACAGGUAAAUGUCUAUUUUGCCCUCCAACUUUUAUCACCCUGACCCACAUAUUAUAUUUAUUGCAAUUUCAUGUUGCAGAGUAUUUAGUUUUUGGGUUUUGAUCAACUUUGGUUUGGUUAAGAUGAAGGAGAUUGAGUAGAUGAAGAAAUACAAUAUAUCGAGCAUCCUAUCAACUCAUCAAAAUUGACUCUUUGUUUUCUUUCAUUCUUGUUCCUUGCUCUCCCUGAACUUGAUGAGUUGCUCAACAAGCAAACAAAAGUAUAAGAUGUUUAAAUACUACAACACUUUUCAUGAAAGUUACAUUAUUUCUCUUUUAGAAAAGUUCAAAUUUUAAAAGUACCUAUAUUUCCAUUGAUUUUUAGCUUACACAACACUUCCAUGGGUUUUACAUACUUCAUUGCUUCUAAAAACAUUUAACAUCUUGAAUUAUGGUACAAAAACUCGUUUACUUUUGGUUUUUACAAUUGAUUUGCAUGAAAAGUUAUGGUCAUAUGUACAUUCAUGGGUUAGUUUUGUUAGUGUAUGUAGUGGGAGUGAUCUUGCAGCAUCCAUACGAUGAACUUGGAAUAAGAGGACUAGAGAAAAAGAGCUGUUUGUUGAGAAUGUUAAUCAUUAUUGAUGGUUUAUGUUAAUGGCUUGUUGAAAGUUUAAUAAUCAUGACUUGUAUGUAGGAUGCUAUGGUAAACAAAUAAAUGUAAGUAGUUUGCUAUUUA